Molecule: long non-coding RNA, 290 nt
Filed under: Pan troglodytes (chimpanzee)
Lineage: Eukaryota; Metazoa; Chordata; Mammalia; Primates; Hominidae
Description: long non-coding RNA NONPTRT016283
Source: RNAcentral
GGAGAUAUAAUCUAAUAGAUUUACUCAAAAAGUAUGCACCAUGCAGCUAAUUUAUCUUUUCUCUCCUUCUAGAAAUUCUGAUUUUCAUGACUUUCACUUUCAUCAACAAGCUAAAAGAAAGAAAAUCUUCUGAGACAGAAAUUACUUGGAUUGCAGCUUUGCCUUCUACAAGUAUUGAGGUUUGAUCUGAACCUGAAGCCCUAACCCUGGACUGGCUGAGAAGAUGCUGGGAUAACAAUCCUUCUAUUAAUUUUAGUCAUUUUAAUAAUCAUGGGUAUAAUUAUUUUAUA